Molecule: ribosomal RNA, 439 nt
Filed under: uncultured bacterium
Lineage: Bacteria
Description: partial 16S ribosomal RNA
Rfam family: Bacterial small subunit ribosomal RNA
Source: RNAcentral
CUACGGGCGGCUGCAGUGAGGAAUAUUGCACAAUGGGGGGAACCCUGAUGCAGCAACGCCGCGUGGAGGAUGACGCAUUUCGGUGUGUAAACUCCUUUUAUAUGUCAAGAAAAUGACGGUAGCAUAUGAAUAAGCACCGGCUAACUCCGUGCCAGCGGCCGCGGUAAUACGGAGGGCGCAAGCGUUACUCGGAAUCACUGGGCGUAAAGGACGCGUAGGCGGGUUGGAAAGUCAGGUGUGAAAUCCUACAGCUUAACUGUAGAACUGCACUUGAAACUUCUAAUCUAGAGUAUGGGAGGGGGAGAUGGAAUUAGUGGUGUAGGGGUAAAAUCCGUAGAUAUCACUAGGAAUACCUAAAGCGAAGGCGAUCUCCUGGAACAUUACUGACGCUAAGGCGUGAAAGCGUGGGGAGCAAACAGGAUUAGAUACCCUCGUAGUC